Phoenix dactylifera (date palm) is the source of this 1426-nucleotide non-coding RNA. The record is from RefSeq and is a predicted model, not a curated record. Lineage: Eukaryota; Viridiplantae; Streptophyta; Magnoliopsida; Arecales; Arecaceae.
UGGCCACACAUUGGACAGAGCUGCUCCAUGUACCUGUGGAGGCUGGGUUUUUGGACCGUAAACCUCUUCGGCCGGUGGACCCAGUCUUUUGGAGCUCAACAUUCCGUAGGUUUACCGCACGGUGCUGAAGCCCCUGGUGUCAUCUUCUUCGGUCAACCGAAGUUUUCUUAUGGUUGGAGAACAAUGGCUGCUUUGUUCAUCUGGCCACCAUUUUCUUGCCGCAAUGCUGCAACGAUGAGGCACUUCGAGGCGAACCGAUCCACCCAACUGGGAAUCAAGAGCCCCAAGGGCAGAGACUACCCAUCGGGGAAGAGACCGAAGUCAGCCUUUGCUUCAGCAACAACAGCACCGACUGCUGGACUACCGGAUGAUGCCACUGGCAACCAAGGGGUAGACAAACAACUCCAAGGAGAUUACAAGACAGCUGAAGAGAUCAGAUCGGCACUCUACCAGAAAUUAGAAGGUGUUAACAGAGGGAUUUUUGGAGUCCCAUCUGCAAAGAAAUUGGAGAUCGAAGGCCUGGUGGAGCUACUGGAGUCCCAAAACCCCACCCCUCAGCCAACUGAUAAUCUGUUAGAUAAGGUGGAUGGAUGCUGGAAGCUUGUUUACAGCACAAUUACAAUACUGGGGGCUAAGAGAACAAAGCUCGGAUUGCGUGACUUCAUCACUCUUGGUGACUUCAUGCAGAUAAUUGAUGUUGCAAAGGAAAAGGCAGUCAAUGUGAUUGAGUUUAAUGUGAGGGCAUUCAAGUUGCUGACAGGGCAGCUGACAAUUGAGGCAUCCUACAAGAUUGUGUCCAAAACUAGAGUUGACAUUAAACUUGAGAACUCAAGCAUUACUCCGGAUCAGGUAAAACCAUCUGCAACCACACCACAGAGAACUCUUUUCAGAUGACUAAAAGCUUUAUCCUCCUGACUGAUGCUGACGUGGGGAUACCACAGUUGAUGAGUAUUUUUCAGAAGAAUUACGAUCUUCUCCUUGCCAUUUUCAAUCCAGAAGAUAUGUUGACGACACCUUGCGGAUUGGGAGGGAUGACAAGGGCAACAUUUUCAUCUUGGAGAGGACCGAGCAGGCAAGAGUCUGAGCUCGUGAACAUUGAGCUCAGCUGCACUUCAUCCAUGAUAUAACAUUACCAAAGCAGUUCUUGGAUCAACAAUGUUUAAUGUGAGCUUACAUUUUAGAGGAAUAUUUACAAGUGAAGAAUAUAAUAGAAAGAUGUAGAUCUUGGGCAUGAUAUGGCGUACUUUGAAAUUAAACUCAUUCUGAAUUCCUAAAUGUUUAUUUGUUAACUGUUGCUUAUCAUUGAGGGGCAUAAAAAAAAGAGAAGAAUCAAAGGGAAAGAUGUUUCUCCAGGGCAUGGAAUUGUGUACUGCAAAAUGAACCUUCCAUUCGAAUUCCUAGAUAUUUAUUUGCCUGCAGUUGAACA